RNAcentral lists this ribosomal RNA (465 nucleotides) under Vreelandella stevensii. Its description in RNAcentral is "partial 16S ribosomal RNA". It matches the Rfam family "Bacterial small subunit ribosomal RNA", at positions 338 to 795 of the family's 1533-position model. The record is from RNAcentral. Lineage: Bacteria; Pseudomonadati; Pseudomonadota; Gammaproteobacteria; Oceanospirillales; Halomonadaceae.
CCUACGGGGGGCAGCAGUGGGGAAUAUUGGACAAUGGGCGGAAGCCUGAUCCAGCCAUGCCGCGUGUGUGAAGAAGGCCUUCGGGUUGUAAAGCACUUUCAGUGGGGAAGAAAGCCUUGGGGCUAAUACCCUCGAGGAAGGACAUCACCCACAGAAGAAGCACCGGCUAACUCCGUGCCAGCAGCCGCGGUAAUACGGAGGGUACGAGCGUUAAUCGGAAUUACUGGGCGUAAAGCGCGCGUAGGCGGUCUGAUAAGCCGGUUGUGAAAGCCCCGGGCUCAACCUGGGAACGGCAUCCGGAACUGUCAGGCUAGAGUGCAGGAGAGGAAGGUAGAAUUCCCGGUGUAGCGGUGAAAUGCGUAGAGAUCGGGAGGAAUACCAGUGGCGAAGGCGGCCUUCUGGACUGACACUGACGCUGAGGUGCGAAAGCGUGGGUAGCAAACAGGAUUAGAUACCCCAGUAGUC